This is a long non-coding RNA of Chinchilla lanigera (long-tailed chinchilla), 1126 nucleotides long. RefSeq lists it as uncharacterized. NCBI's taxonomy places the organism in Eukaryota, Metazoa, Chordata, Mammalia, Rodentia, Chinchillidae. The transcript is spliced from 2 exons. The record is from RefSeq and is a predicted model, not a curated record.
UGGGAUUACAGGUGUGCGCCACCACACCCAGCAACUGUAAAUAACACCUGUGCACACAGAAAAGAGAAAGUCGGACCAAGGCUGCAGAGGACCAGGUGUGAGAAACACCGCGGGGGCAGAUCUUGCCUAAGCAGCCACCUCUGUCAGGGUCCACCCUGGCCCCACAGCUGUGCGAGGUCUCGGGGGCUCCGCCACUGCCCCGCCUGUGAAGGCCGACAGCGUGCACUGCCCAGAGAGGCCAGCUCCAGCAGCCCGCUCUGUACCUCUUUGCGCACCUCGCCGGUCUCCCUCCUUAGCCCCUGAAGUGAUGCUGAGAACACCUCUCAAGCGCGCAUGCGCUGUGUCGGUCCACGGCUCUGCAUCGCCUCUGUACAGUGGAGCUGCAGCAACGCCCCAUCACAGAUCGCAGGGAGGCCUGCGGCUCUAACCAGCACACAGCAAGUGAUUAAUGAACUUGAGUGACUGCUCGAUCAUUGCGGCACUUAACUUGGGACACGCAGUAGCAAGUGAUCAACUGAAACCUCUCUGCUCAGAUUCUGAGCUCUGAUGUCUUCACAGGAGGAUCAAUCACUCAUCCCGGUCCGUAAGGAGCAGCUGUCCGCUCGGUUUUACAGACUCAGAAGACACAGAGAGGGAGCUGGGUCCGCGGCCGCGUCCCCACACCCUCUGCACAUCGGAGCUGUCUGCUCUCCGUCCCUGUCCGCGGCAUCCCUGGUUGGAGGGGCCAGGGGUCCCUCCGCCCACGCGUGGUAUGUGGCUCAAGUCACGUGACCAGCACACACCCCAGCAGGAAGCCGAACUUCCUGUCGCUGGCCUGAGUCCAUGCCCCGGGGUCGCUGCAGAUCGGGACGCCAAGAAGCACCUGCACUCGGGCAGCGUGGCAGGGACAGGAGGGGCAGCACCUGGGGUCCACCAGAGGCCUGACCGGGAGGGAGAGGGGUGCACACCAUGCCCCGGUCCGAGAGUGGAUGAGUGCAGGAGGGGCCGCCAGCCGGGGACACGAGCCCCCGGAGUCACGGCCGAUGCUGGGAGGAAACCUCAGCAAGACACUGUCAGAAUUUAAAACCAGGACAGGGCACACUGCGCAGGGCAGAGGCCUUGAAGGCACAAUAAAUUAACAAAUACA